Molecule: ribosomal RNA, 253 nt
Filed under: uncultured bacterium
Lineage: Bacteria
Also listed under: 1 other name
Description: partial 16S ribosomal RNA
Rfam family: Bacterial small subunit ribosomal RNA
Source: RNAcentral
UACGUAGGGUGCGAGCGUUAAUCGGAAUUACUGGGCGUAAAGCGUGCGCAGGCGGUUCGUUGUGUCUGAUGUGAAAGCCCCGGGCUCAACCUGGGAAUGGCAUUGGAAACUGGCGAGCUAGAGUGUGGCAGAGGGGGGUGGAAUUCCGCGUGUAGCAGUGAAAUGCGUAGAGAUGCGGAGGAACACCGAUGGCGAAGGCAGCCCCCUGGGCUGACACUGACGCUCAGGCACGAAAGCGUGGGGAGCAAACAGG